AAUAGAUACCCCGGUAGUCCACGCCGUAAACGAUGGAUACUAGCUGUUUGAGCGCAAGUUUGAGUGGCUAAGCGAAAGUGAUAAGUAUCCCACCUGGGGAGUACGGGCGCAAGCCUGAAACUCAAAGGAAUUGACGGGGGCCUGCACAAGCGGUGGAGCAUGUGGUUUAAUUCGAUGAUACGCGAGGAACCUUACCAGGGCUUAAAUGUAGAUUGACGUAUUUGGAAACAGAUAUUUCUUCGGACAAUUUACAAGGUGCUGCAUGGUUGUCGUCAGCUCGUGCCGUGAGGUGUCAGGUUAAGUCCUAUAACGAGCGCAACCCCUGUUGUUAGUUGCCAGCGAGUAAUGUCGGGAACUCUAGCAAGACUGCCAGUGUAAACUGUGAGGAAGGUGGGGAUGACGUCAAAUCAUCACGGCCCUUACGUCCUGGGCCACACACGUGCUACAAUGGCCGGUACAGAGAGCAGCCACUUAGCGAUAAGGAGCGAAUCUAUAAAGCCGGUCACAGUUCGGAUCGGAGUCUG
RNAcentral lists this ribosomal RNA (524 nucleotides) under uncultured bacterium. RNAcentral's name for it is "bacterial SSU rRNA". It matches the Rfam family "Bacterial small subunit ribosomal RNA", at positions 777 to 1307 of the family's 1533-position model. The record is from RNAcentral.